Molecule: ribosomal RNA, 390 nt
Filed under: uncultured bacterium
Lineage: Bacteria
Description: bacterial SSU rRNA
Rfam family: Bacterial small subunit ribosomal RNA
Source: RNAcentral
GACGAACGCUGGCGGCGUGCUUAACACAUGCAAGUCGAGCGGUAAGGCCCUUUCGGGGGUACGACGAGCGGCGAACGGGUGAGUAACACGUGGGUGACCUGCCUUUAGCUCUGGGAUAAGCCUGGGAAACUGGGUCUAAUACCGGAUAUGACCCUAUGGCGCAUGUUGUGGGGUGGAAAGCCUUGUGCGGCUAGGGAUGGGCCCGCGGCCUAUCAGCUUGUUGGUGGGGUGAUGGCCUACCAAGGCGACGACGGGUAGCCGGCCUGAGAGGGCGACCGGCCACACUGGGACUGAGACACGGCCCAGACUCCUACGGGAGGCAGCAGUGGGGAAUCUUGCGCAAUGGGCGAAAGCCUGACGCAGCGACGCCGCGUGAGGGAUGACGGCCUU